GUCCACGCCGUAAACGAUGAAUGCUAAGUGUUGGAGGGUUUCCGCCCUUCAGUGCUGCAGCUAACGCAAUAAGCAUUCCGCCUGGGGAGUACGACCGCAAGGUUGAAACUCAAAGGAAUUGACGGGGGCCCGCACAAGCGGUGGAGCAUGUGGUUUAAUUCGAAGCAACGCGAAGAACCUUACCAGGUCUUGACAUCUUUUGAUAAUCCUAGAGAUAGGACUUUCCCUUCGGGGACAAAAUGACAGGUGGUGCAUGGUUGUCGUCAGCUCGUGUCGUGAGAUGUUGGGUUAAGUCCCGCAACGAGCGCAACCCUUAUUGUUAGUUGCCAGCAUUAAGUUGGGCACUCUAGCAAGACUGCCGGUGACAAACCGGAGGAAGGUGGGGAUGACGUCAAAUCAUCAUGCCCCUUAUGACCUGGGCUACACACGUGCUACAAUGGACGGUACAACGAGUCGCAAGACCGCGAGGUUUAGCAAAUCUCUUAAAGCCGUUCUCAGUUCGGAUUGUAGGCUGCAACUCGCCUACAUGAAGUCGGAAUCGCUAGUAAU
This 549-nucleotide ribosomal RNA is filed under the name uncultured bacterium. RNAcentral's name for it is "bacterial SSU rRNA". It matches the Rfam family "Bacterial small subunit ribosomal RNA", at positions 793 to 1342 of the family's 1533-position model. The record is from RNAcentral.